AGAGUUUGAUCCUGGCUCAGAGUGAACGCUGGCGGCAUGCCUAACACAUGCAAGUCGAACGGUAACAGGCCCGCAAGGGUGCUGACGAGUGGCGGACGGGUGAGGAAUACAUCGGAAUUUGCCCAGUCGUGGGGGAUAACGUAGGGAAACUUACGCUAAUACCGCAUACGACCUUUUGGUGAAAGCGGGGGAUCAGCAAUGACCUCGCGCGGAUGGAUAAGCCGAUGUCGGAUUAGCUAGUUGGCGGGGUAAGAGCCCACCAAGGCGACGAUCCGUAGCUGGUCUGAGAGGAUGAUCAGCCACACUGGGACUGAGACACGGCCCAGACUCCUACGGGAGGCAGCAGUGGGGAAUAUUGGACAAUGGGGGCAAGCCUGAUCCAGCCAUGCCGCGUGUGUGAUGACGGCCUUCGGGUUGUAAA
This 421-nucleotide ribosomal RNA is filed under the name uncultured bacterium. Its description in RNAcentral is "bacterial SSU rRNA". It matches the Rfam family "Bacterial small subunit ribosomal RNA", at positions 8 to 429 of the family's 1533-position model. The record is from RNAcentral.